AGAGUUUGAUCCUGGCUCAGGAUGAACGCUGGCGGCGUGCCUAAUACAUGCAAGUCGAGCGAACGGACGAGAAGCUUGCUUCUCUGAUGUUAGCGGCGGACGGGUGAGUAACACGUGGAUAACCUACCUAUAAGACUGGGAUAACUUCGGGAAACCGGAGCUAAUACCGGAUAAUAUUUUGAACCGCAUGGUUCAAAAGUGAAAGACGGUCUUGCUGUCACUUAUAGAUGGAUCCGCGCUGCAUUAGCUAGUUGGUAAGGUAACGGCUUACCAAGGCAACGAUGCAUAGCCGACCUGAGAGGGUGAUCGGCCACACUGGAACUGAGACACGGUCCAGACUCCUACGGGAGGCAGCAGUAGGGAAUCUUCCGCAAUGGGCGAAAGCCUGACGGAGCAACGCCGCGUGAGUGAUGAAGGUCUUCGGAUCGUAAAACUCUGUUAUUAGGGAAGAACAUAUGUGUAAGUAACUGUGCACAUCUUGACGGUACCUAAUCAGAAAGCCACGGCUAACUACGUGCCAGCAGCCGCGGUAAUACGUAGGUGGCAAGCGUUAUCCGGAAUUAUUGGGCGUAAAGCGCGCGUAGGCGGUUUUUUAAGUCUGAUGUGAAAGCCCACGGCUCAACCGUGGAGGGUCAUUGGAAACUGGAAAACUUGAGUGCAGAAGAGGAAAGUGGAAUUCCAUGUGUAGCGGUGAAAUGCGCAGAGAUAUGGAGGAACACCAGUGGCGAAGGCGACUUUCUGGUCUGUAACUGACGCUGAUGUGCGAAAGCGUGGGGAUCAAACAGGAUUAGAUACCCUGGUAGUCCACGCCGUAAACGAUGAGUGCUAAGUGUUAGGGGGUUUCCGCC
RNAcentral lists this ribosomal RNA (848 nucleotides) under Staphylococcus aureus M0960. Its description in RNAcentral is "bacterial SSU rRNA". It matches the Rfam family "Bacterial small subunit ribosomal RNA", at positions 8 to 838 of the family's 1533-position model. Lineage: Bacteria; Bacillati; Bacillota; Bacilli; Caryophanales; Staphylococcaceae. RNAcentral also lists the same sequence under 3 other names. The record is from RNAcentral.